This 253-nucleotide ribosomal RNA is filed under the name uncultured bacterium. RNAcentral's name for it is "partial 16S ribosomal RNA". It matches the Rfam family "Bacterial small subunit ribosomal RNA", at positions 524 to 776 of the family's 1533-position model. The record is from RNAcentral.
UACGGAGGAUGCAAGCGUUAUCCGGAAUUAUUGGGCGUAAAGCGUCCGUAGGUGGCACAUCAAGUCUGCUGUCAAAGGUCAGAGCUUAACUUUGAACAGGCAGUGGAAACUGAGGAGCUAGAGUAAGGUAGGGGCAGAGGGAAUUCCCGGUGUAGCGGUGAAAUGCGUAGAGAUCGGGAAGAACACCAGUGGCGAAAGCGCUCUGCUAGGCCAAAACUGACACUGAGGGACGAAAGCUAGGGGAGCGAAUGGG